This 372-nucleotide ribosomal RNA is filed under the name uncultured organism. RNAcentral's name for it is "bacterial SSU rRNA". It matches the Rfam family "Bacterial small subunit ribosomal RNA", at positions 526 to 896 of the family's 1533-position model. The record is from RNAcentral.
CGGGGGGGGUAAGCGUUGUUCGGAAUUACUGGGCGUAAAGGGCUCGUAGGCGGCCAACUAAGUCGGACGUGAAAUCCCUCAGCUUAACUGGGGAACUGCGUCUGAUACUGGAUGGCUUGGAUUUGGGAGAGGGAUGCGGAAUUCCAGGUGUAGCGGUGAAAUGCGUAGAUAUCUGGAGGAACACCGGUGGCGAAGGCGGCAUCCUGGACCAACAUUGACGCUGAGGAGCGAAAGCCAGGGGAGCAAACGGGAUUAGAUACCCCGGUAGUCCUGGCCCUAAACGAUGAAUGCUUGGUGUGGCGGGUAUCGAUCCCUGCCGUGCCGAAGCUAACGCAUUAAGCAUUCCGCCUGGGGAGUACGGUCGCAAGGCUG